AUGGUAACACCUGCAUGUAGGAGAGGUGAUGGAAACAGGAAGGAAAAAGUCAGAUUUACAGGGAAAAUACUAAUCCAGUACCAGUCAAGGGCCCUGUUUUCUCUAAGACCAAACGGGAGCAAAGCCUGCCUGGCGUUGCCAGCUGGGGCAGCGGUGAGCCCAGCACAUGCUGCACAAAGCAGCCCGUGCCACCCCGCCACCCAAUUCCUGUCCUCUCCUGGGAUAUUUACGACAUAUCCCGCAGUUGUCAUGUCAACACAACAAGCGGCUGCAGCGCUAAAUCAAGCCGUCAACGGGCCAGAACAGAAACGCCAUGCAGAACGCCUCCGGUGACUGACACGCAACAUGGCAUUUGUCAUUUUGCGAGGGUUUCGGUUGCUCCCUCACUACGUCGAGGUUGGUCUUCUGGAUGAGGAAUGGGGCAGGGGAAGAAUACCAAUGAGACAGCAAAGAUGACCUCUCUUGUAAAAAAAAAAAAAAAAAAAAAAAAAAAAAAAGGAAAAAUUGAAGUUGGUUAGAGUAUCAGGAGUUAUCAGGAGGUUUUUUUUUGGUGGGGUGGGGUGUGCUGUGUGUAAGCUAUGCGCUGCAUCUCCUUUCAGAAACAGUGCAGCCACAUCAAUAAUGCUGCUGUUGAAGAUAUUUACCUACAACCACCACAACUUCUUAACUCAAUUUGCGCUCCUUCAACAGCCACGGUAGAAAUCUCGUCUUUGGCCUCCUCCUGCCCAAAGCAAUCUUCCUCCCGCGCACUCAAAUUUAGCCAAGUGAGUGGGGCAGCAGUUAUGAAAGAGCACAUUUUUAUUGUAGCUAGCCCGUUUCCCCAAGGAAAUGGAGCAAAUAUGCUGAUUCGUACCGUGCCUGUCCAUCAGUCACUGUAAUAACUUUGGAGGCAGUAGGGCUCUCACGUCGAUUGCACUCCUUCAAGUUUUGUGCAAAUACAUUAGCAGCGGCAGGAGGGAGGCACGGCUGGCGUCGCGCUCCGCGCUCCGUGCCGGGUGAGCAGAGAUGCUGGAGGGAGCUGGCACCAGCAUCCCAGCUGCAGGAGGAGCUGGGAGCUAUUUCCAGGGACAUCACCCAUUUGCUGUCCAUAUUUAUAAUCUACAUUUCUUUUUUUUUGAUGCAGCAAAAAGAACUGCCACCUGCACUUGAAGCCUCCCCAACCCCCAGCCCAAAAGAAUAAAUUGCUUGGACAGAAUAUUUCA
Molecule: long non-coding RNA, 1202 nt
Filed under: Anas platyrhynchos platyrhynchos (common mallard)
Lineage: Eukaryota; Metazoa; Chordata; Aves; Anseriformes; Anatidae
Description: lncRNA (ENSAPLG00000025603.1)
Source: RNAcentral